AGAGUUUGAUCCUGCGCUCGAGACGAACGGUGGGGGUGCGCCUAACACGUGCGACUCGAACGAGCAAGGAAGAGCUGGCUUUCUCAAGCGAGUGGCGAACGGGUGAGUAACGCGUGAGGAACCUGCCUCAGAGAGGGGGACAACAGUUGGAAACGACUGCUAAUACCGGAUGAGCCCCCGACCCGCUCUCGGCUGCUAGGGAAAAGGAGCAAUCCGCUAUGAGAUGGCCUCGAGUCCGAUUAGCUAGUUGGUGAGGUAACGGCCCACCAAGGCGACGAUCGGUAGCCGGACUGAGAGGUUGAACGGCCACAUUGGGACUGAGACACGGCCCAGACUCCUACGGGAGGCAGCAGUGGGGAAUAUUGCACAAUGGGGGAAACCCUGAUGCAGCGACGCCGCGUGGAGGAAGAAGGUCUUCGGAUUGUAAACUCCUGUUGUUGAGGAAGAUAAUGACGGUACUCAACAAGGAAGUGACGGCUAACUACGUGCCAGCAGCCGCGGUAAAACGUAGGUCACAAGCGUUGUCCGGAAUUACUGGGUGUAAAGGGAGCGCAGGCGGGAAGACAAGUUGGAAGUGAAAUCCAUGGGCUCAACCCAUGAACUGCUUUCAAAACUGUUUUUCUUGAGUAGUGCAGAGGUAGGCGGAAUUCCCGGUGUAGCGGUGGAAUGCGUAGAUAUCGGGAGGAACACCAGUGGCGAAGGCGGCCUACUGGGCACCAACUGACGCUGAGGCUCGAAAGUGUGGGUAGCAAACAGGAUUAGAUACCCUGGUAGUCCACACUGUAAACG
This 789-nucleotide ribosomal RNA is filed under the name uncultured bacterium. RNAcentral's name for it is "bacterial SSU rRNA". It matches the Rfam family "Bacterial small subunit ribosomal RNA", at positions 8 to 808 of the family's 1533-position model. The record is from RNAcentral.